UUUCCGUAGGUGAACCUGCGGAAGGAUCAUUAUCAUGUAAUUCAGUCCCCUUGGCUGUGUUAUAUAUAUACCCACUCUGUGUACCUUCUCCUGUUGCUUCCGCUGGGUGUGUAAUUCGCCCGGCGGAAGGGUAAAAAUAACCUCUGAGUAUUGAUGAAAUCUCUGUCUGAACUGAAUAGAAAGAAAAAUGUUAAAACUUUCAGCAACGGAUCUCUUGGUUCUC
RNAcentral lists this unclassified non-coding RNA (223 nucleotides) under plant metagenome. RNAcentral describes it as "partial contains small subunit ribosomal RNA, internal transcribed spacer 1, and 5.8S ribosomal RNA". The record is from RNAcentral.